Molecule: ribosomal RNA, 508 nt
Filed under: uncultured bacterium
Lineage: Bacteria
Description: partial 16S ribosomal RNA
Rfam family: Bacterial small subunit ribosomal RNA
Source: RNAcentral
GACGAACGCUGGCGGCGUGCCUAAUACAUGCAAGUCGAACGCUUCUUUCCUCCCGAGUGCUUGCACUCAAUUGGAAAGAGGAGUGGCGGACGGGUGAGUAACACGUGGGUAACCUACCCAUCAGAGGGGGAUAACACUUGGAAACAGGUGCUAAUACCGCAUAACAGUUUAUGCCGCAUGGCAUAAGAGUGAAAGGCGCUUUCGGGUGUCGUUGAUGGAUGGACCCGCGGUGCAUUAGCUAGUUGGUGAGGUAACGGCGCACCAAGGCCACGAUGCAUAGCCGACCUGAGAGGGUGAUCGGCCACACUGGGACUGAGACACGGCCCAGACUCCUACGGGAGGCAGCAGUAGGGAAUCUUCGGCAAUGGACGAAAGUCUGACCGAGCAACGCCGCGUGAGUGAAGAAGGUGUUCGGAUCGUAAAACUCUGUUGUUAGAGAAGAACAAGGACGUUAGUAACUGAACGUCCCCUGACGGUAUCUAACCAGAAAGCCACGGCUAACUACGUG